AUAAAAUUCAAAUCAAUAUUCAUAAGCAAUAGAUAUAUAUUUUAAAAAAAUAUAAAAUUUAAAAGGGUUACCAUGUCGUUACUUUCCCAAGCAGAUCUGAGAGUUCGUUGCUGUCGGAGUCACGAUUUGGGUCUGAUAGAAUUCUGAUUGUCCCAUCAAAGCUCGGAGCUAAAAGCUUGUCGAAUACCUCGCUGGACGGAGAAAGCCGGU
RNAcentral lists this unclassified non-coding RNA (210 nucleotides) under Hevea brasiliensis (rubber tree). The record is from RNAcentral. Lineage: Eukaryota; Viridiplantae; Streptophyta; Magnoliopsida; Malpighiales; Euphorbiaceae.